This 253-nucleotide ribosomal RNA is filed under the name uncultured bacterium. RNAcentral's name for it is "partial 16S ribosomal RNA". It matches the Rfam family "Bacterial small subunit ribosomal RNA", at positions 524 to 776 of the family's 1533-position model. The record is from RNAcentral.
UACAGAGGGUGCAAGCGUUAUUCGGAAUUAUUGGGCGUAAAGAGCACGUAGGUGGUUCGGUAAGUCAGAUGUGAAAUCCCUGGUCUCAAUCCAGGAAGUGCAUCUGAUACUGCCAGACUAGAGUAUAGGAGAGGAGAGCGGAAUUCCCGGUGUAGAGGUGAAAUUCAUAGAUAUCGGGAGGAACAACAGAGGCGAAGGCGGCUCUCUGGACUAUUACUGACACUGAGGUGCGAAAGCGUGGGGAGCAAACAGG